AUAUCAAUAAGCGGAGGAAAAGAAACUAACAAGGAUUCCCCUAGUAACGGCGAGUGAAGCGGGAAAAGCUCAAAUUUGAAAUCGAAUAUCCUUCGGGUGUUCGAGUUGUAAUCUAGAGAAGUGUUUUCUGUGCUGGACUGUAUUCAAGUUCCUUGGAAUAGGAUAUCAAAGAGGGUGAGAAUCCCGUGCUUAAUACAAUCCCCAGUGCUCUGUGAUACACUUUCAAAGAGUCGAGUUGUUUGGGAAUGCAGCUCUAAAUGGGUGGUAAAUUCCAUCUAAAGCUAAAUAUUGGCGAGAGACCGAUAGCGAACAAGUACCGUGAGGGAAAGAUGAAAAGCACUUUGGAAAGAGAGUUAAAAGUAC
Molecule: ribosomal RNA, 363 nt
Filed under: uncultured fungus
Lineage: Eukaryota; Fungi
Description: eukaryotic LSU rRNA
Rfam family: Eukaryotic large subunit ribosomal RNA
Source: RNAcentral